Molecule: long non-coding RNA, 514 nt
Filed under: Panax ginseng (ginseng)
Lineage: Eukaryota; Viridiplantae; Streptophyta; Magnoliopsida; Apiales; Araliaceae
Description: long non-coding RNA (PGIN_LNC013808)
Source: RNAcentral
AAAAAUAUUUUAAAGAAAACGAAUCCAGUGAAACAAAAGAACAAAUAUUAAGGAUUCGUACUUUAAACAAUCCGGGUUCAAAAAUAUUUCAUAAAUAAUUAUAGUGGAGCAAAAUUCAAGAAUGAUCAAAACAUGGAUAUAAUCAAAGCUAGUAUACAUAAUAGAUAUUUUGGAUAAAAAAUGAAAAUUUAAUUUUUCUAUGAAUAGUGCUGUAUUCGUUAAUAGUACCGUAUACAUGAAUAGUGUCGUAUACGUGAAUAGUAACCCCGACACUAAAAGACAAGAAUUUCACAAGAAAAAUACUAUCAAUAUUCCGGCAUAAUGAUAUUGGAAGAAAAUAUCAUUUUUUAAAAAAUAAUAUCCCUUACCUCGAAAAGACAGUACUUCUUACUGAAAUACUGGAUAUAGUGCUGAAGGGAACUUGCACCGUAUAGCAACACUCAAACUAUCAAAAUACUCACAAGAAUACGCUCGAUAAUAUAGAGAGAGAAAGAGAGAGAAAACUUCAGUUUCU